GGCGAGAGUCACGGCAGCGAUACCCAGUCCUCUGGGCCUGGGCGCUGGCACAAGCUCGCCAGGCAGCAGCAAAAGCCUCCAGUACCUUUGCAAGGUGAAUUUAAAGAGCUCUGAGGAUCUGCACUUACGCAGGCUGACAGGAUGAAGUUCCUCGCCGAGCCAGGAGCAGAGGAUUUGGCAGCAGAGCCCGUUUCCAGCUCCUGCCCACUCCCACCCCUCCGGGACAGCCUGCCGAAGCCGCUUCUAGGGAUAAGGGGGGAAAGCAGCAUCUAAUUCAGUCCCUGCUUUUCUUCUGCCAAGACUCCCAGGCGGAUCAUAAGGCAGCCCCAGCGUGGUUGUUCGUGCUGCGGUGUGGCACACGCGGCGCAGCUCCAGCGGGGGAUGCCGCUGUCCCCAGACAGCCUCAGCCUCGGGGACUGGUUUUGGCCACCGGUGCUUGUGAGACCUGGGCCCGCAUCAGCAACGGGCCCGCACCCCCCGGCUCCCCCCGGCCCCAGCCCCCUGCUGCGUGUCUGACUGAACAGUGCCUGGAAGAACAAUCUCGCUGCCAUCUGCGCUGUGCAUCCUGCGUGAUUCCAGAAGCAUCAACGGCGUUGCUGAUCCGAGAGGAACGGCAGUUUUCGGAUAACUUUCACCCAAAAGCUAUCUCCCUCACCCCACGAUCGCUUUCAGAUUUGUGGUUCUUGGGGGGUGUCGCUCUGAAGCAGGUAAGGAAGCAAAGAAACAAAGCACAGCGCUGCGAGGCCAUGUUAAACGAAGCUGAAAUGGAAGGAAACGCAGGUCUGAUGAGGUGCCGUUCCGGCUCUUCGGGGUACGUCCCACCUUGGCAAAGGAAGAGGGGUCCAAGCCCUCGGGGCCCCCAGUCACCGAGGAGCUCUCGGGGCGACGGCUCCGACUUGCUCUGAGCACGGGCAGGCCGGGGCGUUCGGCCGCUGACCGAGGAGCGCAGCGGGGCCCCGGAGCGGUGGCCACGCUCCUCCCGCGAGAACUUUGUCAAGAGUCUCUUUGUCCAGACCGUCCUCAGCACCAAUCUCCUGCUAAUACCAUUUCAGUCUUGGGUUUGCUGUUACGUUGGGCCUGAUGUGAGCAGUCUGUGAACUUAACGCGGUGGAAAAACAAAUGGUGGGGAAAGCCCGGAGGCGUGGAGGAGCAUCGAU
This 1157-nucleotide long non-coding RNA is filed under the name Athene cunicularia (burrowing owl). RNAcentral describes it as "lncRNA (ENSACUG00000014412.1)". Lineage: Eukaryota; Metazoa; Chordata; Aves; Strigiformes; Strigidae. The record is from RNAcentral.